UAGGGAAUCUUCGGCAAUGGGGGGAACCCUGUCCGAGCAACGCCGCGCGAGUGAAGAAGGUUUUCGGAUCGUAAAGCUCUGUUGUUAAGGAAGAACGAGUGUGAGAAUGGAAAGUUCAUACUGUGACGGUACUUAACCAGAAAGGGACGGCUAACUACGUGCCAGCAGCCGCGGUAAUACGUAGGUCCCGAGCGUUGUCCGGAUUUAUUGGGCGUAAAGCGAGCGCAGGCGGUUAGAUAAGGCUGAAGUUAAAGGCAGUGGCUCAUGCAUUGUAGGCUUUGGAAACUGUUUAUCUUGAGUGCAGAAGGGGAGAGUGGAAUUCCAUGUGGAGCGGUGAAAUGCGUAGAUAUAUGGAGGAACACCGGUGGCGAGAGCGGCUCUCUGGUCUGUAACUGACGCUGAGGCUCGAAAGCGUGGGGAGCGAACAGG
RNAcentral lists this ribosomal RNA (429 nucleotides) under Bacteroidota bacterium. RNAcentral's name for it is "Bacteroidetes bacterium partial 16S ribosomal RNA". It matches the Rfam family "Bacterial small subunit ribosomal RNA", at positions 355 to 776 of the family's 1533-position model. The record is from RNAcentral. Lineage: Bacteria; Pseudomonadati; Bacteroidota.